AUGGCCGAGGUCGCCGAUGCGCCCCGCCGCGCGGCGCCUGGGGCCUCCUCCUCCCCACCCCCUCCCCCCUCCUCCGCCGGCGGCAGCGGCGACCGCAAGCGUGGCCGCUCCUCGCCCGUGCUCCCGCCGCCUCCCCCCGGCCCCCCUCCGCCGGCGGCGCAAAACAAGCGGCACCGGACAGAAGGAGGUGGGUUCGACCGGCGCCGUCUUGGUGGCGGGCAGGACGACAGGAGGUUUGGGAAUGAUCAUGGUGGCCAAGGUCGACACAACAAUCGUGCACCAGAUUGGCAUGAUUCUGGACGUGGUGGAUGGAAUGAAGGAUCAGGGAACUCCCGUAGGGAAGGUCUGAUGUCUUACAAGCAGUUCAUGCAGGAGCUUGAAGAUGACGUUUCGCCUGUUGAAGCUCAAAGCAGAUAUGAGGAGUACAAGUCAGAGUACAUCACAACUCAGAAGAAAGCUUACUUUGACCUUCAUAAGAAUGACGAUUGGUUGAGAAACAAGUACCAUCCUACUAACCUUGAAUCUGUUAUGGAAAGACGGAACGAACUUGCGAGAGCUACUGCAAAUGAAUUCUUCCAAGAUUUGCAGAGCGGAAAUUUUGACACCGGUCCAGGAUUAACGAGUUCGGCAGCGAACAAAUCUGGAAAUAAUGAUGUGAAUGUAAAUGGAAAAAAGGGGAAACUUGGAAAGGACCCUGAUGAUUUAUAUUAUUCUGCUCCCAAGGCUCAUCCAGUCAGUUCUGAGCCUCGGCGAAUUAGCAUUGACAUUGAACAAGCUCAAGCUCUCAUCUGUAAACUUGAUUCUGAGAAGGGUAUUGAGAAUAAUGUUCUAUCUAGUAGUGAUGAUGACAAAGCAGGCAGCGGAUCACAUGGUUCAAUGGGCCCAAUUGUAAUAAUACGGGGUGCAUCUACUGUGAAGGGUCUUGAAGGUGUUGAGUUGCUGGACACUCUUGUCACUUAUUUGUGGCGUAUCCAUGGUGUGGAUUAUUAUGGCAUGUCUGAGACAAAUGAGCCAAAAGGUCUAAGGCAUGUGAAAGCAGACUCAAGGACAUAUGAUGGGCCUAGCUCAAAUACAGCUGAAUGGGAGGAGAAACUUGAUUCAUUCUGGCAAGACAGGAUUCAAGGUCAGGAUCCAUUAGAAAUAUUGAAAGCAAAGGACAAGAUUGAUGCAGCUGCUAGUGAAGUGUUGGAUCCACAUGUCAGGAAAAUAAGGGAUGAGAAGUAUGGAUGGAAAUAUGGCUGUGGAGCUAAGGGGUGCACAAAGCUUUUCCAUGCUUCUGAGUUCGUCACGAAGCAUCUCAAACUCAAGCAUACUGAUUUUGUGGUGGAGCUGACUUCAAAAGUGAGAGAGGAUAUUUAUUUUGAGAACUACAUGAAUGAUCCCAAGGCGCCUGGGGGAACACCGAUCAUGCAACAAUCUGCUCCAAGGGAAAAGGGCAGACAGCGGCCACCGAUUGAGAGUCGGCUGAGAGAUGAACGUGGCCGUAGAUUUGACAGAAAUAUUGAUUCAUCAAACCCUGAUGGAUCCAGUGAAAACCCUGAUGAUCCAAUGUAUGAUUCUUAUGGUGAUCCGGCUGUACAUGGUGCCUUUCCUCCAGAUGUUCCAGCUCCUCCAAUGCUGAUGCCUGUGCCUGGUGCUGGCCCACUUGGGCCGUUUAUUCCUGCACCACCGGAAGUUGCAAUGCGUAUGUUGAGGGAGCAGGGUGGGCCACCACCUUUCGAGCCGAAUGCUGGUCCACGUCCUAGGAAAGCAGGAAGGGCUGGUGGUCCCCCAAUGGGUGGUCCAUCACCAAUCCUUAAUGCUCCACUUCCUAUAAUGCAUGAUCCACGUAUGCAAGAUCCACGCAUGCAAGAUCCCCGUAAAAUACGAAGCUAUCAAGAUCUGGACGCUCCUGGAGAUGAAGUGACAGUUUUGGACUACCGGAGCCUGUAG
Molecule: ribosomal RNA, 1932 nt
Filed under: Triticum aestivum (bread wheat)
Lineage: Eukaryota; Viridiplantae; Streptophyta; Magnoliopsida; Poales; Poaceae
Description: partial small subunit ribosomal RNA
Source: RNAcentral